This 492-nucleotide ribosomal RNA is filed under the name uncultured bacterium. Its description in RNAcentral is "partial 16S ribosomal RNA". It matches the Rfam family "Bacterial small subunit ribosomal RNA", at positions 29 to 507 of the family's 1533-position model. The record is from RNAcentral.
AGUGAAUGCUGGCGGUAGGCCUAACACAUGCAAGUCGAACGGCAGCACAGUAAGAGCUUGCUCUUACGGGUGGCGAGUGGCGGACGGGUGAGGAAUACAUCGGAAUCUACUUUUUCGUGGGGGAUAACGUAGGGAAACUUACGCUAAUACCGCAUACGGCCUACGGGUGAAAGCAGGGGAUCUUCGGACCUUGCGCGAUUGAAUGAGCCGAUGUCGGAUUAGCUAGUUGGCGGGGUAAAGGCCCACCAAGGCGACGAUCCGUAGCUGGUCUGAGAGGAUGAUCAGCCACACUGGAACUGAGACACGGUCCAGACUCCUACGGGAGGCAGCAGUGGGGAAUAUUGGACAAUGGGCGCAAGCCUGAUCCAGCCAUACCGCGUGGGUGAAGAAGGCCCUCGGGUUGUAAAGCCCUUUUGUUGGGAAAGAAAAGCAGCAGGUUAAUACCCCGCUGUUCUGACGGUACCCAAAGAAUAAGCACCGGCUAACUUCGUG